GAAGUUGACUAAGACAGUCGCUGCUAAUUUUUUAAAAAAUAUUUUAGGAGAGGAAAGUCCGGGCUCCUAGGGCUAAAGUGCCAGGUAACACCUGGGAGAUGUAAAUCUACGACUAGUGCCACAGAAAAUAUACCGCCUAAUUUUUUAUAUAUUGUAAUAAAAAAUAUAUAAAUUUUAAAAUUUUUUAUAUUUAAAUUAAGGUAAGGGUGAAAUGGUGUGGUAAAAGCACACCGCAUAAUUGGUAACAAUAUAUGGCAAGGUAAACUCCACUUGGAGCAAGGCCAAAUAAGAAUUUUAUAGCUCAAAGCCCUAGCUCAAAAAAUUCGGGUAGGCUGCUUGAAUUAGUAAGUGAUUACUAAUCUAGAUUAAUGACUGUUUAAUACAGAACCCGGCUUAUUAGUCAACUUCUAAC
This 412-nucleotide RNase P RNA is filed under the name Buchnera aphidicola (Thelaxes californica). RNAcentral describes it as "Bacterial RNase P class A". It matches the Rfam family "Bacterial RNase P class A". Rfam says of the family: Ribonuclease P (RNase P) is a ubiquitous endoribonuclease, found in archaea, bacteria and eukarya as well as chloroplasts and mitochondria. Its best characterised activity is the generation of mature 5'-ends of tRNAs by cleaving the 5'-leader elements of precursor-tRNAs. The record is from Rfam by way of RNAcentral. Lineage: Bacteria; Pseudomonadati; Pseudomonadota; Gammaproteobacteria; Enterobacterales; Erwiniaceae.